This 2893-nucleotide ribosomal RNA is filed under the name Selaginella bryopteris. RNAcentral describes it as "bacterial LSU rRNA". It matches the Rfam family "Bacterial large subunit ribosomal RNA". The record is from RNAcentral. Lineage: Eukaryota; Viridiplantae; Streptophyta; Lycopodiopsida; Selaginellales; Selaginellaceae.
AGGGCGCAUGGUGGAUGCCUUGGCAACAGGAGCCGAAGAAGGACGUGGGAAUCUGCGAUAAGCCUGGUGGAGUCGAUAACCGGACGUUGAGACCAGGAUUUCCGAAUGGGGGAACCCCGCACGACUUUCAAGAUCGUGUGACCGCCUGCUGAACACAUAGGCAGGUUGGAGGGAACGCAGGGAAGUGAAACAUCUCAGUACCUGCAGGAAGAGAAAACAAAAGUGAUUCCGUGAGUAGUGGCGAGCGAAAGCGGAGGAGGCUAAACCGUGUGUGUGUUCAAGCCGGCAGGUGUUGCAUGUGCGGGGUUGUGGGGGCCUGUGUGAUCCUGCUGCCGUGGGAUCGGCUUGCAUGUGGUGUGAAGUUGAAUCGUCUGGGAAGGCGGACCGUAGUGGGUGAGAGUCCCGUAGUCGAAAUGUGUUCCGCCGCUGUUGGAGGGUCGCCCGAGUAGCACGGGGCCCGAGGAAUCCCGUGUGAAUCUGCCAGGACCACCUGGUAAGCCUGAAUACUACCUGUUGACCGAUAGCGGAUCAGUACCGUGAGGGAAUGGUGAAAAGUACCCCGGGAGGGGAGUGAAAUAGUACCUGAAACCAUGUGCCUACAAACCGUCGGAGCCUCCUUGUUGGGGUGACGGCGUGCCUUUUGAAGAAUGAGCCUGCGAGUCAGCGGCAUGUCGCGAGGUUAACCCGUGUGGGGAAGCCGUAGCGAAAGCGAGUCUGAAUAGGGCGAUUCAGUCGCGUGUCCUAGACCCGAAGCGGAGUGAUCUACCCAUGGCCAGGUUGAAGCGCGUGUAAGAGCGCGUGGAGGACCGAACCCACUUCAGUUGAAAAUGGAGGGGAUGAGCCGUGGGUAGGGGUGAAAGGCCAAUCAAACUCCGUGAUAGCUGGUUCUCCCCGAAAUGCAUUUAGGUGCAGCGUCACGUGUUUCUUCCCGGAGGUAGAGCUACUGGAUGGCUGAUGGGCCCCAACGGGUUACUGACGUCAACCAAACUCCGAAUGCCGGGAAGUGAGAGCGUGGCAGUGAGACUGUGGGGGAUAAGCUUCAUAGUCGAGAGGGAAACAGCCCAGACCACCGGUUAAGGCCCCUAAGCGUGUGCUAAGUGGGAAAGGAUGUGGAGUUGCUGAGACAACCAGGAGGUUGGCUUAGAAGCAGCCAUCCUUUAAAGAAAGCGUAAUAGCUCACUGGUCAAGCGUCUUUGGGCCGACAAUACAACGGGGCUCAAGCAUAGGACCGAAGCCGUAGAAUGCACCGACCUGCGGGUUGGUGUUUUGGUAGAGGAGCGUUCUCUCAGCCGUGAAGCCAGAUCGAAAGGACUGGUGGAGUGGAGAGAAGUGACCCUGCCGGCAUAAGUAGCGAGAAGGGAAGUGAGAAUCUUCCCCGCCGUAAGCCUAAGGUUUCCUGAGGAAGGUUCGUCCGCUCAGGGUUAGUCGGGACCUAAGCCGAGGCCGAAAGGCGUAGGUGAUGGAAAGCAGGUUAAUAUUCCUGCACCACCAAGGAUGGCGUUGAAGCAAGCGGGGACGGAGAAGGGUAGCCCAGCACGGCGCAUGGUCGUCCGUGUUCAAGCCCGUAGGCUGAGCUGUUAGGACCCGAUAGGGACAAACGACGGUUCGCUAGGCCGAGAGGUGAUGAGGUCCGGCCCUAGGCCGAGAAACUGAGUGAUCCCAAGCUUCCAAGAAAAGCCGCGUGCAGAGCCUCUUUGGUGAUCGUACUGCAAACCGACUCAGGUGGGCGGGAAGAAUAUUCCAAGGCGCGUGAGAGAACCCCGGUUAAGGAACUCGGCAAAUUGACACCGUAACUUCGGAAGAAGGUGUGCCUUUAGUAGGUGAAGUCGUACAGAUGGAGCCCAAUGAGGCCGCAGAGAAUCGGUGGCUGCGACUGUUUAAUAAAAACACAGCACUCUGCAAAGACGAAAGUCGACGUAUAGGGUGUGACGCCUGCCCGGUGCUGGAAGAUUAAAUGAUGGGGUGCAAGCUCUUGAUUGAAGUCCCAGUAAACGGCGGCCGUAACUAUAACGGUCCUAAGGUAGCGAAAUUCCUUGUCGGGUAAGUUCCGACCUGCACGAAUGGAGUAACGACUUCCCCGCUGUCUCAACCAUGAACUCGGCGAAAUUGCAUUACGAGUAAAGAUGCUCGUUACGCGCAGAAGGACGGAAAGACCCCGAGACCUUUACUAUAGUUUGGUAUUGGUGUUCGGUGUGGCUUGUGUAGGAUAGGUGGGAGACUGUGAAGCCGGCACGCCAGUGCUGGUGGAGUCAUCGUUGAAAUACCACUCUGGUCACUCUGGACAUCUAACUUCGGCCCGUGAUCCGGGUCAGGGACAGUGCCUGAUGGGUAGUUUAACUGGGGCGGUUGCCUCCCAAAAUGUAACGGAGGCGCCCAAAGGUCCCCUCAGCCUGGUUGGCAAUCAGGUGUUGAGUGCAAGUGCACAAGGGAGCUUGACUGUGAGAGUGGCAGCUCGAGCAGGGACGAAAGUCGGGACUAGUGAUCCGGCACUGGCUUGUGGAAGCGGUGUCGCUCAACGGAUAAAAGGUACCUCGGGGAUAACAGGCUGAUCUUGCCCAAGAGUCCAUAUCGACGGCAUGGUUUGGCACCUCGAUGUCGGCUCGUCGCAUCCUGGGGCUGGAGUAGGUCCCAAGGGUUGGGCUGUUCGCCCAUUAAAGCGGUACGCGAGCUGGGUUCAGAACGUCGUGAGACAGUUCGGUCCCUAUCCGCUGCGCGCGUUGGAAAUUUGAGAAGGUCUGUCCUUAGUACGAGAGGACCGGGACGGACGAACCUCUGGUAUGUCAGUUGUACCGCCAGGUGCAUGGCUGAUUAGCUACGUUCGGGAUGGAUAACCGCUGAAAGCAUCUAAGCGGGAAGCCCACCUUAAGAUUAGAUUUCCCUAAAGAGCCGUUGU